Molecule: ribosomal RNA, 661 nt
Filed under: uncultured fungus
Lineage: Eukaryota; Fungi
Description: eukaryotic LSU rRNA
Rfam family: Eukaryotic large subunit ribosomal RNA
Source: RNAcentral
CCCGCUGAACUUAAGCAUAUCAAUAAGCGGAGGAAAAGAAACUAACAAGGAUUCCCCUAGUAACGGCGAGUGAAGCGGCAAGAGCUCAAAUUUGAAAUCUGGUCUUUAUUGAUCCGAGUUGUAAUUUGUAGAGGAAAGUUCGGCAAAAUCUUUGAUCAAAGUUUUCUGGAACGAAACGUCAUGGAGGGUGAGAACCCCGUAUUUGAUUAUUAGAUUGCGCUAUGUGAACUUCCUUCGAAGAGUCGAGUUGUUUGGGAAUGCAGCUCAAAAUGGGUGGUAAAUUCCAUCUAAAGCUAAAUAUUGGCCAGAGACCGAUAGCGCACAAGUAGAGUGAUCGAAAGAUGAAAAGCACUUUGGAAAGAGAGUGAAACAGUACGUGAAAUUGUUGAAAGGGAAACGCUUGAAGUCAGUCGCGUCGGCCGAGACUCAGCCUUGCCUCGGCUCGGUGUAUUUCUUGGCCCGACGGGUCAGCAUCAAUUUUGCCCCUUGGAUAAUGGCUAGGGAAAUGUGACACCUUUAUAGGUGUGUUAUAGUCUCUCGUCGCAUGCAAGGGUCAGGAUUGAGGAACUCAGCAUGCACCUUCGGGUGUCGGGGCUUUUGUCCACGAUACAUGCUUAGGAUGUUGGCGUAAUGGCUUUAAACGACCCGUCUUGAAACACGG